Molecule: unclassified non-coding RNA, 23 nt
Filed under: Mus musculus (house mouse)
Lineage: Eukaryota; Metazoa; Chordata; Mammalia; Rodentia; Muridae
Description: oocyte_clustered_small_RNA8816
Source: RNAcentral
GGAUGAACACGCAGGAGAGUCUU